Molecule: ribosomal RNA, 460 nt
Filed under: uncultured bacterium
Lineage: Bacteria
Description: partial 16S ribosomal RNA
Rfam family: Bacterial small subunit ribosomal RNA
Source: RNAcentral
CCUACGGGCGGCAGCAGUGAGGAAUAUUGGUCAAUGGGCGGGAGCCUGAACCAGCCAAGUCGCGUGAGGGAAGACGGUCCUAUGGAUUGUAAACCUCUUUAGGCGGGGAGCAAUGCCGGGCACGUGUGCCCGGAGGGAGAGUACCCGCAGAAUAAGCAUCGGCUAACUCCGUGCCAGCAGCCGCGGUAAUACGGAGGAUGCGAGCGUUAUCCGGAUUUAUUGGGUUUAAAGGGUGCGUAGGCGGAUUUUUAAGUCAGCGGUAAAAUUGAGAGGCUCAACCUCUUCGAGCCGUUGAAACUGGUUUGCUUGAGUGAGUGAGAAGUAUGCGGAAUGCGUGGUGUAGCGGUGAAAUGCAUAGAUAUCACGCAGAACUCCGAUUGCGAAGGCAGCAUACCGGCGCUCAACUGACGCUGAGGCACGAAAGCGUGGGGAUCGAACAGGAUUAGAUACCCCAGUAGUC